RNAcentral lists this ribosomal RNA (408 nucleotides) under uncultured bacterium. RNAcentral's name for it is "bacterial SSU rRNA". It matches the Rfam family "Bacterial small subunit ribosomal RNA", at positions 194 to 600 of the family's 1533-position model. The record is from RNAcentral.
CUAUGGAUGAAAGCGGGGGAUCGCAAGACCUCGCGCGAUUGGAGCGGCCGAUAUCAUAGGUAGUUGGUGGGGUAAAGGCCUACCAAGCCGACGAUCUGUAGCUCUGAGAGGACGACCAGCCACACUGGGACUGAGACACGGCCCAACUACGGGAGGCAGYAGUGGGGAAUUUUGGACAAUGGGCGCAAGCCUGAUGCAAUGCCGCGUGCAGGAUGAAGGCCUUCGGGUUGUAAACUGCUUUUGUACGGAGCGAAAAGGCUUYCACUAAUACUGGGGGCUCAUGACGGUACCGUAAGAAUAAGYACCGGUUAACUACGUGCCAGYAGCCGCGGUAAUACGUAGGGUGCAAGCGUUAAUUCGGAAUUACUGGGCGUAAAGCGUGCGCAUUUGUAAGACAAGGUGUGAAAU